This 481-nucleotide ribosomal RNA is filed under the name uncultured bacterium. RNAcentral's name for it is "bacterial SSU rRNA". It matches the Rfam family "Bacterial small subunit ribosomal RNA", at positions 1001 to 1482 of the family's 1533-position model. The record is from RNAcentral.
CAGAGAUGGGUGUGCCGUAAGGCUGGUGUACAGGUGGUGCAUGGUUGUCGUCAGCUCGUGUCGUGAGAUGUUGGGUUAAGUCCCGCAACGAGCGCAACCCUUGUCUCAUGUUGCCAGCGGGUUAUGCCGGGGACUCAUGGGAGACUGCCGGGGUCAACUCGGAGGAAGGUGGGGAUGACGUCAAAUCAUCAUGCCCCUUAUGUCUUGGGCUUCACGCAUGCUACAAUGGCCGGUACAAAGGGUUGCGAUCCUGUGAGGGGGAGCGAAUCCCAAAAAGCCGGUCUCAGUUCGGAUUGGGGUCUGCAACUCGACCCCAUGAAGUCGGAGUCGCUAGUAAUCGCAGAUCAGCAACGCUGCGGUGAAUACGUUCUCGGGCCUUGUACUACACCGCCCGUCACGUCACGAAAGUCGGUAACACCCGAAGCCGGUGGCCCAACCCUUGUGGAGGGAGUCGUCGAAGGUGGGACUGGUGAUUGGGACG